This 78-nucleotide small RNA is filed under the name Flavobacterium sp. CECT 9288. RNAcentral describes it as "Flavo-1". It matches the Rfam family "Flavo-1 RNA". Lineage: Bacteria; Pseudomonadati; Bacteroidota; Flavobacteriia; Flavobacteriales; Flavobacteriaceae. The record is from RNAcentral.
AUUUAGCCCUGAUAGCAGCGGCAUCCUUUUAUCCCGAUUUUUUCGGGAUGAAAGAUAUAGCGGAUAGCAGGAGGAGUU